UACGAAGGGGGCUAGCGUUGCUCGGAAUCACUGGGCGUAAAGGGUGCGUAGGCGGGUCUUUAAGUCAGGGGUGAAAUCCUGGAGCUCAACUCCAGAACUGCCUUUGAUACUGAGGAUCUUGAGUUCGGGAGAGGUGAGUGGAACUGCGGAGUGUAGAGGUGAAAUUCGUAGAUAUUCGCAAGAACACCAGUGGCGAAGGCGGCUCACUGGCCCGAUACUGACGCUGAGGCACGAAAGCGUGGGGAGCAAACAGG
RNAcentral lists this ribosomal RNA (254 nucleotides) under uncultured bacterium. RNAcentral's name for it is "partial 16S ribosomal RNA". It matches the Rfam family "Bacterial small subunit ribosomal RNA", at positions 524 to 776 of the family's 1533-position model. The record is from RNAcentral.